RNAcentral lists this ribosomal RNA (496 nucleotides) under uncultured bacterium. Its description in RNAcentral is "partial 16S ribosomal RNA". It matches the Rfam family "Bacterial small subunit ribosomal RNA", at positions 28 to 507 of the family's 1533-position model. The record is from RNAcentral.
GAUGAACGCUGGCGGCGUGCCUAAUACAUGCAAGUCGAGCGAACAGACGAGGAGCUUGCUCCUCUGACGUUAGCGGCGGACGGGUGAGUAACACGUGGAUAACCUCCCUAUAAGACUGGGAUAACUUCGGGAAACCGGAGCUAAUACCGGAUAAUAUCUUGAACCGCAUGGUUCAAUAGUGAAAUACGGUUUUGCUGUCACUUCUCGAUGGAUCUGCGCCUCUUUAGCUGGUUGGUGAGUUAACGGCUUACGAAGGGGACGAUGCCUAGCCGACCUGAGUGGGGGAUGGGGCACAGGGAAGCUGAGCCACGGUCAGACGCCUACGGGAGGCAGCAGUAGCGAAUCUUCCGCAAUGGGCGAAAGCCUGACGGAGCAACGCCGCGUGAGUGAUGAAGGUCUUCGGAUCGUAAAACUCUGUUAUGAGGGAAGAACAAAUGUGUAAGUAACUAUGCACGUCUUGACGGUACCUAAUCAGAAAGCCACGGCUAACUACGUG